CUCAGUAGGGUCGAAAAUUUGGCUAUACAAAUUGGUGAGCACCAUCAUUUAUUUCCAUGUUUAAAUGCUUUGGCCUGUAGUACGUCACGGUCCUAUUUGCAGCUAUAAAAAGAGGGCUUUGCAGGAUGCCAAUAGAGAUCAUAAUGGAGACAAGCAUGAUCAAGCAGACGAUUCUGAAUCUCACGGAUACCGAUCGCAAUAACUCUAGCAAAGCAAGCCAAAAGACCAAAAGUGAAAAGGGAGGGGCAGAGGUACACAUACCAGAAGAUCCUUGAGAGACGGAGAGUGAAGACUCCUCCGGAUGGCAUGUUCCACAGAACUUACUCAUGGAAGGGGGAGGGGGAGUGGCAGCAGAAACUGCAUUAGGGGGCGGCGGCGUAGGCUGAGACACAGG
Molecule: long non-coding RNA, 394 nt
Organism: Acanthaster planci (crown-of-thorns starfish)
Lineage: Eukaryota; Metazoa; Echinodermata; Asteroidea; Valvatida; Acanthasteridae
Source: RefSeq, a predicted model, not a curated record